AUAAAUUAACUAACUAAUUAAUUUUCAUUACUCUUUGUUGGAAAUUAGCAGAUGAAAUGAUUGUAACUAAUUCGAUUUAUCCAUCCAUAGACAAACGUUAGGCAUAAACAAUAUGCCAUUUUUAACUCUAUUAAUUUUUAGACUUUUUCUCCAUUUUCCCCUUAUUUUUCUAUUUAUCAAUUAUUGCAUACCCAAAAAUGGUUACAUAUACAUUUAUGGUGGUUAUUACAACAACAUUUUAGACCUUUUAUUUUCUUCAUGAAACGUUUCUAAAAAGUCAUGGUUUAUUCAUUUAUUUUCCUCCAGCUCCUUGCAAGUCUAUUCUUAUUUUACAUUAUGGAUACUUUAAAUAUCAAAUAUUUAUAUUAUAAAUUACCAUCCAUAUAUCAAUUUUCAACAUUCUUGUAAACAUUUGUGCAUUUAUGUCUAUGCACUCCAUGAAGGUAAGCACAUACAUUAUCUAAUCUUCUUUUCUCUUCUCGAUUCAGACUUUUUUUUUUCUUCAUCUACACAUUUUUUAAAUUUUUUGUGUCUUUCUCAAUUUUUGCUACUUUCCCGUUUGACUUUCAUAUAUUAUUGUAAACUUAUAGGUAAAGGUAAUGUUAGAAGAAAAAUACUACCUUUGAUGAUGAAUUGAAAAUGUCAAUCCAAUAUAUGUUUUUCUACGUAGAAGCAAAUUUAAGGCCAAAAUAUGGGGUACGUGAAUUUAAAGUUUCUCUAAAAAAAAAAGGUAUUUUAUGUGUAUGAUUUUUAGAAUUAGUAUAAUAUUAUAUGCUGACACUCAUGCUAGAAAAAGGCUAAAUGAUUCACUUGAUUGAAUGUUGAGUUAUUCCCUGAGUGCUAGGAUCAAUAUAAUUCCGUCCUAAAACCUUUAGAUAAGUUGAAUUGAGGAAAAAAAAUAUCUAUAUCAAGAGUGGUUCAUUUCAUUAUGACUUAUAAUAAAUUUAGCAUGAAAUAGUAAGAGAUGCUCUCUCUUUGGGUAUGCUAUGUAAUUAAUUA
This 999-nucleotide long non-coding RNA is filed under the name Solanum tuberosum (potato). RNAcentral describes it as "long non-coding RNA (STUB_LNC002272)". The record is from RNAcentral. Lineage: Eukaryota; Viridiplantae; Streptophyta; Magnoliopsida; Solanales; Solanaceae.